GAUGAACGCUGGCGGCGUGCCUAAUACAUGCAAGUCGAGCGAACAGAUGAGGAGCUUGCUCCUCUGACGUUAGCGGCGGACGGGUGAGUAACACGUGGAUAACCUACCUAUAAGACUGGGAUAACUUCGGGAAACCGGAGCUAAUACCGGAUAAUAUAUUGAACCGCAUGGUUCAAUAGUGAAAGACGGUUUUGCUGUCACUUAUAGAUGGAUCCGCGCCGCAUUAGCUAGUUGGUAAGGUAACGGCUUACCAAGGCAACGAUGCGUAGCCGACCUGAGAGGGUGAUCGGCCACACUGGAACUGAGACACGGUCCAGACUCCUACGGGAGGGAGCAGUAGGGAAUCUUCCGCAAUGGGCGAAUGCCUGACGGAGCAACGCCGCGUGAGUGAUGAAGGUCUUCGGAUCGUAGAACUCUGUUAUUAGGGAAGAACAAAUGUGUAAGUAACUAUGCACGUCUUGACGGUACCUAAUCAGAAAGCCACGGCUAACUACGUG
This 497-nucleotide ribosomal RNA is filed under the name uncultured bacterium. RNAcentral's name for it is "partial 16S ribosomal RNA". It matches the Rfam family "Bacterial small subunit ribosomal RNA", at positions 28 to 507 of the family's 1533-position model. The record is from RNAcentral.